This 577-nucleotide ribosomal RNA is filed under the name Larsia sp. CATP9.1.8. RNAcentral's name for it is "eukaryotic LSU rRNA". It matches the Rfam family "Eukaryotic large subunit ribosomal RNA", at positions 451 to 900 of the family's 3401-position model. The record is from RNAcentral. Lineage: Eukaryota; Metazoa; Arthropoda; Insecta; Diptera; Chironomidae.
UUCAAUACUGUAUGGGCAACCGUACGGUGUGCACUUUUCCCUUAGUAAGACGUUGUGAUCCAUUAGGAAUCGCGAGUGCUUUUGAUGUUAGGCCGACAUCAAAGUUCACAGUGACAAACAACACAAUCUUCUGGUUGGGUAUAUUGUCUUGUGAGUGUGUCGUGUUCUGAUGCAACUGCCUGAUGGAUAUUAGAGGCUGCACCACUGAAGCUUGCUUCACCCGCUCUUGUAUGGGAAUUGGGGUGUGUGCCCGAUCAACAACGGUUUCAUUUGGGAUACCUUUGGGACCCGUCUUGAAACACGGACCAAGGAGUCUAUCUAGUAUGCGAGUAAAUGGGCUUUAUGGAAACCUAUUUGCGUAAAAAACUUGACUGUAAUAUAAUGGGAUUACGUGUAAAUUUCGUGUAGWUUGCACCUCCAUCCCGGGGUAUUUACAUCACAUAAAUGGGCAACCAUUUAUAGUAAAUAUACCAUGAGCAUACUGGACAUGACCCGAAAGAUGGUGAACUAUGCCUGAUCAGGUUGAAGUCAGGGGAAACCCUGAUGGAGGACCGAAGCAAUUCUGACGUGCAAAUCG